Molecule: ribosomal RNA, 449 nt
Filed under: uncultured bacterium
Lineage: Bacteria
Description: bacterial SSU rRNA
Rfam family: Bacterial small subunit ribosomal RNA
Source: RNAcentral
UGCCAGACUCCUACGGGAGGCAGCAGUGGGGAAUAUUGGGCAAUAGGCGCAAGCCUGACCCAGCAACGCCGCGUGAAGGAAGAAGGCUUUCGGGUUGUAAACUUCUUUUAUUCGGGACGAAGCAAGUGACGGUACCGAAUGAAUAAGCCACGGCUAACUACGUGCCAGCAGCCGCGGUAAUACGUAGGUGGCGAGCGUUAUCCGGAUUUACUGGGUGUAAGGGCGUGUAGGCGGGAGUGCAAGUUGGGUGUCAAAUCUACCGGCUCAACCGGUAGCCGCACUCAAAACUGCAGUUCUUGAGUGAAGUAGAGGCAGGCGGAAUUCCUAGUGUAGCGGUGAAAUGCGUAGAUAUUAGGAGGAACACCAGUGGCGAAGGCGGCCUGCUGGGCUUUUACUGACGCUGAGGCUCGAAAGUGUGGGGAGCAAACAGGAUUAGAUACCCUAGUAAG